CUGCUCCUAGAAUGACACAGAAAUAUGUCCAGAGGUUAGAGCUGCUUUCCUGGCCUGAAGGAUAUACACAGAAGUCGUAGGAAAAACACAGAAUGGGAAGCAGUGCCUUGGUCAGGAACUAUACUUCUAAAAUCAAGACUAGGGGCUACAAUGCUGACCUGCUAGAAAAUUAUGUUUUUGAUUCUCUUCUAUAAUAUUUAGUAAAUCACAAAAUCUUUGCUUAUGGCAAAAUGCUGUUUUAUAACAUGAAGAUAGUGAUGCCUUAUCCAAUCUUUGCUUUUAAAAGUUUGUAUGAUUCUUAAUUGAGCAUUUUAAAACCCCACUAUGUCGUAUUAUUUUGAGCCUUAAGUGCUGAUGCUGACAAUUAAUGAAUGAAUAAAGAGAAAACCCAAGAACUGUGCUGCGAAAUUGGAGAGACGAGACCUGCAUCAGUUCUUGAGUCUGUGUUUCAACUAUAUAAGUAGAAUUCAAUUGCUUUGGAAUCCCUGCUCUAUGGACCAAAGGGGUCAUUAAAUGAAUUCUAAAAUCCUUGCAGAUCUAACAGUUUAUGAUUCUAUAACCUCAAUGAAGAUAGAAUCUAUCUUGUUUAUUUUUCAGUUACUUUCGCACCAACCCAAACAUGAGGUAGACAGCCUGUGGGAAAAAUACUGGAGCAGGCAUAUGUGAAAAUGUAAUGAGAAAAAGUCACAAAAGGAAAAUAUUGAGAGGAAUGAUGCCACUGAACGGGGACAGUCCACUGUCAUUGACAUGAGUACCAAGUGGACACUGGCCUGAUGGGUACACCUUAUGCUGCUGUUGCUAGUGCUAGCAGAGAAUUUUCAGUGGCCAGCCCUGAUGUCACCUUCUCUGGGAAGCUACUCCCAGUCUUCCUCUUCUGGUAGAAACCCGAUCACUUGCCAAUUUCAGAUCUACUGAUCUGGGCACAUUUUUGAGUUCCCCCUAAGAUAAUAAAUUACUAGAAACCAACACUGAGUUCAUGCCUGGCACAGUCAGUGCCAAGUACAUGUUCUAGAGAUGAGCAGAGGAAGAUGGGAAAUGACUAGAGAAAGAAGAAAGAAGAACAAGAGGAGAACAAAAUAA
This is a long non-coding RNA of Cavia porcellus (domestic guinea pig), 1080 nucleotides long. RefSeq lists it as uncharacterized. Lineage: Eukaryota; Metazoa; Chordata; Mammalia; Rodentia; Caviidae. The transcript has 2 exons. The record is from RefSeq and is a predicted model, not a curated record.